Candidatus Liberibacter solanacearum CLso-ZC1 is the source of this 333-nucleotide non-coding RNA. Lineage: Bacteria; Pseudomonadati; Pseudomonadota; Alphaproteobacteria; Hyphomicrobiales; Rhizobiaceae. The record is from Rfam.
UCUCUUCCCAUAUAAGCCAAACACAUAUAUAAUAUUGAUGCCAUUUGGAUAUAGCGAUAAAUAGUCUGCGUAAUAAGCUUGUUGGACCCGGGGGCGGUACCCGGCGCCUCCACCAUAACAAUAAGGGGGCGAAAUAGGAUAGACAAGGGUGUAAAGGUUGAAAGUUCGCUCGGCAUUGUACCACCGUUAUCGGACUAAAAAUGUAGUUGCAAAUGACAACUUCGCUGGAGAAACUCGCCUGGCCGCUUAGGCAAUGCGAUUUCUCACUUUAAGCCCUGAUGGGUUGCACCAUCAGGCGGGGUUUGGAGGCACCUGGCAACAGAAGCCUCCUUU